RNAcentral lists this long non-coding RNA (870 nucleotides) under Androctonus crassicauda. Lineage: Eukaryota; Metazoa; Arthropoda; Arachnida; Scorpiones; Buthidae. The record is from RNAcentral.
CAGCUGGCUGCUGGGCGGAAGCAGCGCUUUGCAAAGAAGCGUUAGCAAUAGGCUGAGGGUCGGAACCCUGAACAGUCAAACCAGGAUUCGAGGCUGCUUUCUGUGAUUUCUUACUCACAGCUCCGAGAACAACCAUGUUGCUAGGGCGUUUAUCCUUCGCAACAGGAACUACAGACUUAGUUGUCUGGACAACGGCCGAAAAACUCGGCGAACUUGAACGGGAAGCCUGAAGAGAGCCAGAAGGCUGAGAAACCUCAGGGGAACUACGACCAGAGGCGCUUUCGACAGCCAGCCUGCUGCCGGAGCCACCUCCAGAGACCUGCUCAGAGAGCGGGGGGAAUGAUGACAUUGGAACAGGGGACGAAGUCCUCUCAGCCCACGAAAGGGCAACCAUCUCCGGGCCUUGGGCGUCACCCAUGGCUCUCAGGACGGUGUAGUUAGGAGAGGACGAGACCUAAAAGGGAAAACAACGACGAGAAAACACCUGAAAAUAAAGGGGAGGCCCUACUUUGGGUAUUUGAAGACUCGAUGGGCUCAGAGUUGCCAAUGAGCCGGGCAAAGAAACGAACACACGCUGUGUUUCAAGCGUGAGGGUCUCAGUGCCUCAGUGCACAAGAAACUUAUCUAAUUUUGAAGUCCCGACUAUCCAAGAGGUAGUCGGUAAACAGCCGCUUCAAUGUCUAGAUAGACCUAGACACUGCUGUAAGCCUUGGUCGAACUGGAAACUUCGGAAUCUUCGGAAAUCUUCUUCCGGGGACCACGGGACCUAGCUAAGAUGAAAAAGCGCUGAAAACACCAGAUACUUUGAUCUUAGCCAAAAGGCCGAGAAGCGAUGCCAAAAAUUGGCGUCCGAGGGGGUCCUGUAGCCAA